RNAcentral lists this long non-coding RNA (478 nucleotides) under Manihot esculenta (cassava). RNAcentral's name for it is "long non-coding RNA (MESC_LNC009386)". The record is from RNAcentral. Lineage: Eukaryota; Viridiplantae; Streptophyta; Magnoliopsida; Malpighiales; Euphorbiaceae.
GCCAGCUGCUUCAGAGUCUCUUCAGAGCUAGCCAGAGGUGAGUGGAAUAAACUUUAAGUUUUAAAGCAAAUUAAUGAAAUGUUUUAGCAUGAUUCACGCAUCAUGAAUGCCAUGAGAUAUAUUAGGUUGUUUGCAUUAGAAUUCACGAAUAUGUUGCAUUGCAUACUUUGUUGUUGAUGUGGAUGAAUGUUGAAUGAUCCAUUAGCCCUUGUAUGUCAUGAUAGCCUAUGUGAGUCCAGGUGUGCCUGCUACGGCUCUACGCCCCUGGCAUUAUGACCAAUUAUGGAAGUCCGGGUGUGCCUGCUACGGCUCUACGCCCCCGGCAUGUAUAAGUAAGAAAGAUAGGGGCUAAAUGGUGACAAGUUCAUCCUUGUUGUGAAAUGUUUGUGUUAUGGCGCAUACAUGAAAGCAUGAUUUAAAUUGAUGUUUUAUUAUUCUGCUCACUGGGCUCUAGUAGCUCACCCCACUCCCUUUAUCC